GAUGAACGCUGGCGGCGUGCCUAACACAUGCAAGUCGAACGAAAAGACGAGGAGCUUGCUCCUCUGACGUUAGCGGCGGGCGGGUGAGUAACACGUGGAUACCCUACCUAUAAGACUGGGAUAACUUCGGGAAACCGGAGCUAAUACCGGAUAACAUGUUGAACCGCAUGGUUCAACAGUGAAAGACGGUCUUGCUGUCACUUAUAGAUGGAUCCGCGCCGCAUUAGCUAGUUGGUAAGGUAACGGCUUACCAAGGCAACGAUGCGUAGCCGACCUGAGAGGGUGAUCGGCCACACUGGAACUGAGACACGGACCAGACUCCUACGGGAGGCAGCAGUAGGGAAUCUUCGGCAAUGGGCGAAAGCCUGACGGAGCAACGCCGCGUGAGUGAAGAAGGUCUUCGGAUCGUAAAACUCUGUUAUUAGGGACGAACAGAUGUGUAAGUAAAUAUGCACGUCUUGACGGUACCUAAUCAAGAAGCAACGGCUAACUACGUG
RNAcentral lists this ribosomal RNA (497 nucleotides) under uncultured bacterium. Its description in RNAcentral is "partial 16S ribosomal RNA". It matches the Rfam family "Bacterial small subunit ribosomal RNA", at positions 28 to 507 of the family's 1533-position model. The record is from RNAcentral.